Long non-coding RNA from Seriola dumerili (greater amberjack), 854 nucleotides. RefSeq lists it as uncharacterized. The record is from RefSeq and is a predicted model, not a curated record. The transcript has 14 exons. Lineage: Eukaryota; Metazoa; Chordata; Actinopteri; Carangiformes; Carangidae.
CCGCUUCCUCUUCCACUUUCUUCUCUCGUCUGGUCGAGAUGGCGGGAGAUCCAGAAACUGUUUGCUGCAAAGGUGUGAUGAAUGUUGCAAGAUCAUCCACAGAAGGUUGGCCUGCAGUGUUCAUUCACUUAUGUCAAAGUAGCUGGAAAGUGCACUGAGGAGUUUGACUAGAAGUCUGAGAAAGGAUGCUCCCUCAACAUCUGAACAUGGGCCUCUUGAGUGGACACUUGGAAGAGGAAGACACCAAUUGGAAGUCACAUGGUGAUUCAUCGACUGCUUCAGCAACAUGAUGGAAGUGCUCUAGUUGAAGGUGCUUGGUAUUGGAAGAUGCCCUCAACUUCUCCCAGACAAAGGUGUCAGUCCAGGUAACAAUUGGUGCAUCAUCUGAAGUGAACUUGCAUCGUCUGACGGGAAUUUCUUGUCUGUUCCAUUAGGACUGAGCUGAAGUCACUGGGGUUGACGAGACUAUUCCAGAGUUGAGGUUUGGAAAUGCUGUCUGACUCUUCAACACCUGGGGCUGUGCUGCAGGUCAGACAGUUCUCUGCAUCAGCUGAUUAUUGGUCAGCAUCAAGCUAAGUCUUCUUGGGAUGCCGCCUGCUGCUUUGGCAUGUAUGGUUGGUGUCAAGCUAAGUCUUCUUGGGAUGCUGCCUGCUGCUUUGGCAUGUAUGAGUUGGGACAGAACCUGGACGGCAUCGUAUUCUCCAAGAUUGCUGCAGUUUCUCUUGAGUUCAACUGGCUGCUUAGAAUAUCUGAUUAAAAUGUUUGUGUGAUAUUAAAAUGUAUCCAGCUGACUGACCUAUUACAAGGUUUUACCUUCUGAGCUGUGGAAAUCUCAAAUAAACUUCUCAGUUCAA